UAGCAGGUCCAAAGUUUCCAUGAUGUG
This 27-nucleotide non-coding RNA is filed under the name Mus musculus (house mouse). Lineage: Eukaryota; Metazoa; Chordata; Mammalia; Rodentia; Muridae. The record is from RNAcentral.